UUAAUUUUAAACAUUAAUUUUAAUAAAUUUUUUAAAGCUGUUCUUAUCAUUUGAAUAUCUAAUAUGUCCUUUAUUUGAGGACUGUAUAUUAAAUUGAUUUUUGAAAUAGGGGGAUGGAAUAGGAGCUUGCUCCAUCCACCCCAUGCAUCGACCUGGUAUUGCAGUGCCUCCGGGAACAGUGCAAAGAAA
This 189-nucleotide small nuclear RNA is filed under the name Terrapene triunguis (Three-toed box turtle). RNAcentral describes it as "Terrapene carolina triunguis (Three-toed box turtle) U2 spliceosomal RNA (ENSTMTG00000005630.1)". It matches the Rfam family "U2 spliceosomal RNA". Rfam says of the family: U2 is a small nuclear RNA (snRNA) component of the spliceosome (involved in pre-mRNA splicing). Complementary binding between U2 snRNA (in an area lying towards the 5' end but 3' to hairpin I) and the branchpoint sequence (BPS) of the intron results the bulging out of an unpaired adenosine, on the BPS, which initiates a nucleophilic attack at the intronic 5' splice site, thus starting the first of two transesterification reactions that mediate splicing. The record is from Rfam by way of RNAcentral. Lineage: Eukaryota; Metazoa; Chordata; Testudines; Emydidae.